This is a long non-coding RNA of Symphalangus syndactylus (siamang), 1119 nucleotides long. RefSeq lists it as uncharacterized. The record is from RefSeq and is a predicted model, not a curated record. Lineage: Eukaryota; Metazoa; Chordata; Mammalia; Primates; Hylobatidae.
UUCCCUAAGGAAGUGAUGAGAUCAGCAGGGAGAGCAAGAGUCAAUGAGGCAAAGAGAUUGGGGUUGAGGAAGAUGGUUGCCUGUCAGUGAGGACACUGAGCGUAGCCCUGUGGAGAGGCUGACAGGAUGAGGAACUGAGGCCUCCCGCCAACUGCCAGCACCAGUGUGCCAGGCCUGCGAGUGAGCACAUCUCACAGCCCCAGGAAGCCCCAUCAACAGGGCUGCGUGUUCCUGGAGGAUGGGAACUGUGUCUUAUCAUUCUGCUGCCCACCAUAUGAUAGUGAAUGAAAGAUAGGAUGUGCUGGGGACUCAUAUGAGAAGAGGAGGUUGAGAUCUCUGCAGCAGACAUUCCCAAACCUGGUGGAGCAUCAGAACCAGGGUCUGCCUUCCUAACAGGCUGUAGGUUCCUCAAGGGUUGGGACUGUGCCUGUGUUCUGGGCACCUGCCCAUGCCUGGCAAUUUGAAGAAGCUCAACUGCUGCAUGUUGAAGGACUGAAUAAUUGCAUGAGCAACCAUCGAUAAUUGCAUGCUACAACCAUCGAACUUGCAGGGUUCUUCCAUGGAAUAAGUGAGCUUCAGCACCACAGAAGAGACCAGAGCCUGCCUUACCAGCUCCUCUAGCACCGAACACGUGCCAAUUCAUGUCCUGAAUGCUCACUUCACUUCUUCACCUUGCUUCACUUCACUUACAGCACGGGAACAGAAAAGCCUAGAGAGGAUAGAUUACCUGUCCGGGUGCCUCCCACUGCAGAGUGGGCGUGUCUUAGGAGCUUCUCUUCUCCUCCAGCCCGGUGCGGCCUCGUGUCAUCCAUACGACCCACCGGCAGAGGGCAGGGCCCGCGAGUGGGGCCAGCCUCCUGGUGACUCUCGCCUCCUCUCUUCCAGCGGACGCUACCAGAGGGCGAAGGUCUGACUCUGGCCAACGGCCCAGAAUUUCUGGCCCAGUUUUGCUUGAGGAAGCCAAUUGUGCAGGAGGUCAGGAUCCCGGUAGGGUGAGAGUGGGAAAGUUAACAUUCCCAAGAGACUCCAAGCAACAGGAUUUCCUGACCUGGGACUAUCACCUUUCUCACAUUACAUGGCCAGAUUUACUUCCUGCUAUUAUUAAAAGUAUGAAAAAGA